Molecule: transfer-messenger RNA, 384 nt
Filed under: Pseudomonas mosselii
Lineage: Bacteria; Pseudomonadati; Pseudomonadota; Gammaproteobacteria; Pseudomonadales; Pseudomonadaceae
Rfam family: transfer-messenger RNA
About the family: Bacterial tmRNA, also known as 10Sa RNA or SsrA, is named for its dual tRNA and mRNA-like properties. Its role is to liberate the mRNA from a stalled ribosome.
Source: RNAcentral
GGGGCCGAUUAGGAUUCGACGCCGGUAGCGAAACUCUAGGUGCAUGCCGAGUUGGUAACAGAACUCGUAAAUCCACUGUUGCAACUUUCUAUAGUUGCCAAUGACGACCACUACGGGGAAGUAAAGUUCGCUGCUUAAUUGCAGCUGACCCUUCCUCCUGGUAGCUUCGGCUCCAGCAAUCAUCAGGGGAUGCCUGUAAACCCGAAAUGAUUGUCAUACAGAACAGGAUCGUCGUGCAGCACGUUGGGGGCGAAGCGACUAAAACUUACCCAACUCAUCCAAAGCACCCUGCCCGUCGGGCGGCUGCGGAUUAAAUCAGUAGACACGGCUAAGCAUGUAGUACCGACAGCGGAGUACUGGCGGACGGGGGUUCAAAUCCCCCCG